RNAcentral lists this ribosomal RNA (433 nucleotides) under uncultured bacterium. RNAcentral describes it as "partial 16S ribosomal RNA". It matches the Rfam family "Bacterial small subunit ribosomal RNA", at positions 29 to 507 of the family's 1533-position model. The record is from RNAcentral.
AACGAACGCUGGCGGCAUGCCUAACACAUGCAAGUCGAACGAGACCUUCGGGUCUAGUUGCGCACGGGUGCGUAACGCGUGGUAACCUGCCCUUAGGUUCGCAAUAACUCCCCGAAAGGGGUGCUAAUACCGGAUAAUGUCUUCGGACCAAAGAUUUAUCGCCUUUGGAUGGGCCCGCGUUGGAUUAGCUAGUUGGUAGGGUAAAAGCAUACCAAGGCGACGAUCCAUAGCUGGUCUGAGAGGAUGAUCAGCCACACUGGGACUGAGACACGGCCCAGACUCCUACGGGAGGCAGCAGUGGGGAAUAUUGGACAAUGGGCGAAAGCCUGAUCCAGCAAUGCCGCGUGAGUGAUGAAGGCCUUAGGGUUGUAAAGCUCUUUUACCCGGGAUGAUAAUGACAGUACCGGGAGAAUAAGCUCCGGCUAACUCCGUG